This 2265-nucleotide unclassified non-coding RNA is filed under the name Hevea brasiliensis (rubber tree). Lineage: Eukaryota; Viridiplantae; Streptophyta; Magnoliopsida; Malpighiales; Euphorbiaceae. The record is from RNAcentral.
GGUUGGUCCACUUUGCUGAGCUCAUGCAGGCUUUAUGGUAACUUGGACAUUGGGAAAUGGGCAGCUCAGUCUCUAUUGGAACUAGAGCCCCAGAACCCUGCAGGUUAUAUCUUGCUUUCAAGCAUCUACGCUGCUAAUGGAAAAUGGAAUCAUGUUGCCCAAUUGAGGAGAGGAAUGAGAGAAAAGGGAGCCAGAAAGGAACCGGGAUGUAGUUGGAUCAAAUAUAAGAAUAAAGUUCAUAUUUUCUCAGCAGAUGACUGCUCAAGUCCAUUUUGUGAUCAGAUAUAUGCUGAGCUGGAUAAGUUAAAUGAAAAAAUGAUAGAAGAGGGGUAUGUGCCAGAUGCUAGUUCAGUUCUCCAUGAUGUUGAGGAGUCAGCAAAGAUACAGAUGCUUAACUAUCAUAGUGAGAGGCUUGCAAUUGCCUUUGGGUUGAUAUUUAUCCCUCGUGGCCUUCCCAUACGAGUAGUUAAAAAUCUUAGGGUAUGUGGUGAUUGUCACAAUGCCACUAAAUAUAUUUCUAAGAUAACUCAAAGAGAAAUACUCGUAAGAGACACUGCUCGGUUCCAUCUUUUCAAAGAUGGAAAAUGUUCAUGUGGAGAUUUCUGGUGAUAUGUCUCUCCUACCAUCCAAAGCUGUUGAGGAUGAUAUUAAAGCCUAGUAUCACCUAGAGGAGUAACCAAGAUCUUUGAUUUCAUGGAUAGUAAAGAGGGCAUUAUGCAGUCACACAUUACAGGGUGCUUUUUCUUGCUGGAUCGAUAAUCCUGGAAGAAUAUCUUAAUGUUAAAACAAAAUGAGAAUUUGAUGUGGGAAUCUCCUUGGUUAAAAAUGUUGGUACAAUUGCAUUCUGAAGGUGUCCUAGACUGAAACCCUGGCAGCAACUAUCUAUAGAAUGUGCAGAAGAUCACACAGGAACAGGAUCGUUUUGUCUUUCCUGAAUUACAAAGAACAGAAAUAUAAUAAAAGGCGAAUCUGAAGAAUAAGUAGAAAAGUUGUUUGAAGUAAAUGCAUAUUGGAUAGCAACUCAUUAAAGGGCUGGGGGAAGCUGACAAGAAUUACCUGCAACUUUCUGCAAAUCUCAAUUACUUCAGCUAGAGGAGCCCAAUCACCAAAAUUCCUUUCAAUAAACUGGUAAGCAAUUCCAGUCUUUCCUCUGCCAAUUACAAAGAGGCCACCUUUAAUUUCUCCUUCCCCUUUGAAGUUUUGCUUUAUUCCCAUAGCUUUUGCCCGCUUGUAAUUUGCAAUAGCUCGUGGGUUGAAAAUAAAUCCUGAUAUGAACUUGUCCUUCAACAGUUCUCCACCACCAAGAGCUUUGAAGAACUGCCUAUCCCGAUCGUAGAGUAUAACACCACCCCAAUAUCGGGGCCAGAAGUCUUUCACCUGCAUGACAAAAGUAGCAGUGACACAUUAGACAAAGGAGUUUAUUAAAUGAUAAGGAGUUGACAGUGCAGUAGAUACCUCUGACUCUAUAUAUUCAUGAAGAACUGCAAUUAACUUAAUUCCUAGCGCAUCAAAUAUGGGCUUCUUAGUAUACAGCUGGUGAGCUUCGGCUCUGCACAUGAUGCAUCCAGGACGCCUGAUGCAGAGGAGGACUGCUGGUUUAUCUUGCCACAGUUCUAAGACCUUCAUCGGGGGCGCUUUUGUAUUCACCAAGCGCUCCAUUCCAAUUUUGUACUCAGGAGCCAGUUUCUCAACUGAUAUUUUCUCAAUGAAAGCGUAAGGAGCAACUUCAUCAACCACUGGAGGAGGUUGUACACACCCGCAUGCUCGAGGUUCAGCUGGUCCAGCAGCAACAAUCCCUUUAAAGAUGUAUCCAUCUUUAAUCUUAAAAUCAGCCAGAGAUUGUUCAAGCGAUUUAUCAUAAUUUAUGCUACUUCUAGUAGGAGAUUUUGAUGUGCCUUGCACAAAUUUUGAGUUGACAGAUCCAAAAGUCUUGAAAAUGAUAUUAUUUCCAGAAUUUGUGCCAGUCAUUUUCCUUACAGGUUGGGCAUAUGAUUUGGGCAAGGGUUCUGCACAUGCACUGGUUCUGUCUGUGAAACGGGCAAUGUGACCUCUCUUCAUCCCAAAUUGGGAAGAGAGAUCUCCAGGGCUUAAGCUCAGAAGCUCGGGCAAACAUUUCCCAGAUGCCUCUAGCUUAUCUCCAUACUGCAUGAGAGCACGAUCAUGCAGGUAUGAUCUUAUUUCCAGAGCAUCCUUUUGCCUUUGUGUCAUGUUUAUUGCAUCCAUAUCCUCUGCACUCAUAAUCUUCAAGGUUGGUACAUCAUCCCA